GCCGCCCGUACCCCAAACCGACUCAGGUGAUCAGGUAGAGAAUACCGAGGCGAUCGAGACAACCAUGGUUAAGGAACUCGGCAAAAUGCCCCCGUAACUUCGGGAGAAGGGGGGCCCCAACCUUGAGCACCACGUGCUGGUGUGAGGGGAUCGGGGCCGCAGAGACCAGGGGGAAGCGACUGUUUAUCAAAAACACAGGGCUCUGCAAAAUCGUAAGAUGAAGUAUAGGGCCUGACACCUGCCCGGUGCUGGAAGGUUAAGAGGACCUGUUAGGCAGCAAUGCCGAAGCGGAGAAUUUAAGCCCCAGUAAACGGCGGUGGUAACUAUAACCAUCCUAAGGUAGCGAAAUUCCUUGUCGGGUAAGUUCCGACCUGCACGAAUGGUGUAACGAUCUGGGCACUGUCUCGGCCGUGAGCUCGGUGAAAUUGUAGUAGCGGUGAAGAUGCCGCUUACCCGCCACGGGACGGAAAGACCCCGUGCACCUUUACUAUAGCUUUGCAUUGUUUUCGGGUCAGGGAUGUGUAGGAUAGGUGGGAGGCUAUGAAGUUGUGUCGCCAGGCAUGAUGGAGCCAACGUUGAAAUACCACCCUUCGCUGGCCUGGGAUCUAAUCCGACUAUGUCGGAGACCGUGCAUGGUGGGUAGUUUGACUGGGGUGGUCGCCUCCAAAAGAGUAACGGAGGCUUCUAAAGGUUCCCUCAGCACGCUUGGUAACCGUGCGUAGAGUGCAAUGGCAUAAGGGAGCUUGACUGAGAGACAUACAGGUCGAUCAGGUACGAAAGUAGAGCAUAGUGAUCCGGUGGUUCCGCAUGGAAGGGCCAUCGCUCAAAGGAUAAAAGGUACGCCGGGGAUAACAGGCUGAUACUGCCCAAGAGUCCAUAUCG
Molecule: ribosomal RNA, 882 nt
Filed under: Foraminifera environmental sample
Lineage: Eukaryota; Foraminifera
Description: partial Bacterial large subunit ribosomal RNA
Rfam family: Bacterial large subunit ribosomal RNA
Source: RNAcentral